UUUGCUGGAAAGCAGUGGAGCUGUGUACAUAUAUACCUUCUGCUUUUUCCAGCAAAAUUUAUGCA
Molecule: long non-coding RNA, 65 nt
Organism: Amblyraja radiata (thorny skate)
Lineage: Eukaryota; Metazoa; Chordata; Chondrichthyes; Rajiformes; Rajidae
Exons: 3
Source: RefSeq, a predicted model, not a curated record